Molecule: transfer RNA, 74 nt
Filed under: Vibrio phage 1.031.O._10N.261.46.F8
Lineage: Duplodnaviria; Heunggongvirae; Uroviricota; Caudoviricetes
Description: tRNA-Gly
Source: RNAcentral
AGCGACGUACGGGAUUCGAACCCGUGACCAAAGCUUGGAAGGCUAAUGCUCGUGCCAGACUGAGCUAACGUCGC